UGGGGAUUAGUGUAACGGUAGCACGACUGGCUCUGAACCAGUUAGCGGAGGUUCGAAACCUCCAUCCCCAGCCA
This 74-nucleotide transfer RNA is filed under the name Candidatus Bathyarchaeota archaeon. RNAcentral's name for it is "tRNA-Gln". It matches the Rfam family "tRNA". From Rfam's summary of the family: Transfer RNA (tRNA) molecules are approximately 80 nucleotides in length. Their secondary structure includes four short double-helical elements and three loops (D, anti-codon, and T loops). Lineage: Archaea; Thermoproteati; Candidatus Bathyarchaeota. The record is from RNAcentral.